AUGCUGUUUAUCUUGGCAAUCGACCCUCUCCAUCGUCUGCUGGCGGCAGCUGCAGCCCAAGGCACCCUAGCAGCCCUCCCAAGCAGAGGAACUAGUAUGAGAAUUAGUCUUUACGCCGACGACACUGUCAUCUUCGCAAACACUACCAAAGAUGAAGUAUCAAAACUUCUGAACUUCAUCCACCUCUUCGGAGAAGCAACUGGCCUGCGUUUAAACCAAGAGAAAUCCACAGUAGCACCAAUUAGGUGUGAUGACCUAAACCUCGACAAUAUUCUCAAAGACUUUGGUGGAGUUGUAGUAGGCUUCCCAAUGACUUACUUAGGACUCCCUAUCUUCACGGGCAGAAUUAGAAUAGUUCAUCUCCAAUUCAUUUUAGAUAGGAUUAGAUCGUGGCUAGCAGGCUGGAAGAUAAAGUUAAUGAACAUGGCCGGAAGAAGAGUGUUGGUACGCAGUGUUCUAUCUGCUAUGCCAACUUUCGCCAUGACUGUUCUUCGUCUGCCAAAAAACUGCUAA
Molecule: ribosomal RNA, 513 nt
Filed under: Triticum aestivum (bread wheat)
Lineage: Eukaryota; Viridiplantae; Streptophyta; Magnoliopsida; Poales; Poaceae
Description: partial small subunit ribosomal RNA
Source: RNAcentral